GACGAACGCUGGCGGCGUGCUUAACACAUGCAAGUCGAACGGUGAAGCGCCUUCCUUUUUGGUGGGUGUGGAUGAGUGGCGAACGGGUGAGUAACACGUGAGUAACCUGCCCCCUUCUUCUGGAUAACCGCAUGAAAGUGUGGCUAAUACGGGAUAUUCUGGGUCUGUCGCAUGAUGGGUCUGGGAAAGAUAUUGUUUCGGUGGGGGAUGGGCUCGCGGCCUAUCAGCUUGUUGGUGGGGUGAUGGCCUACCAAGGCGGUGACGGGUAGCCGGCCUGAGAGGGGGGGGGGGCAACACGGGAGCGAAACGAGGGCCAGGCCUCGGAGGGGGGCAAGAGGGGGGGAUAAUGGAAAAGGGGGCGAGGACGGGAGGAGGCGGGGCCGGGGGGGGGAGGGGGCCCUUGGGGUGGGGACCUUUUUCGGCGGGGGAAGAGGGCCGGCUUGUUGUGGGGGGGGUUGGAGGGUGGUGGAAAAAAAAGCGCGGGCAAACUAGGGG
Molecule: ribosomal RNA, 495 nt
Filed under: uncultured bacterium
Lineage: Bacteria
Description: partial 16S ribosomal RNA
Rfam family: Bacterial small subunit ribosomal RNA (bases 20-339)
Source: RNAcentral